CCCAGACACACAUAUUGCAAAAGUUGCUUGCUUCAAGUAACUAAUGUAUUAACAUAUAUUUCUAUAGGCAAAGAGCUAUUUCUUUCCUUUAGGCUGUCUUAGACACUGAUGAAAACAUAAGAACAUCAAGAGCAUCUGUAAAAAUUACAGCUUUAAUGAAACAGAUGAAACAGGCCAUCAAAGUCGGAGUUCUGUGAUAGGAGGAGAUGAUCUGAAGAAUUUGCGGGUGAUCAGAUGGAUUAAAG
This 245-nucleotide long non-coding RNA is filed under the name Mustela putorius furo (domestic ferret). RNAcentral's name for it is "lncRNA (ENSMPUG00000023962.1)". The record is from RNAcentral. Lineage: Eukaryota; Metazoa; Chordata; Mammalia; Carnivora; Mustelidae.